Branchiostoma floridae (Florida lancelet) is the source of this 4140-nucleotide long non-coding RNA. RefSeq lists it as uncharacterized. The transcript is spliced from 2 exons. Lineage: Eukaryota; Metazoa; Chordata; Leptocardii; Amphioxiformes; Branchiostomatidae. The record is from RefSeq and is a predicted model, not a curated record.
GAGUCAUCUAAGGUGAAAAGGUGGUUGUCCUUGUAAGAUGAUAGAAGCUUUUCCCAUCCCCAGCCUCGCACUUGAUGGAACACAGCAAAGAAAUGUUUCCAUGGCAAAAAGCAUGUGCAGCAAGGUAUGGCUUCAUCAUCUCCGAAGUAGACGGUGUGGUAUUUGGAUGGUUAGCUCUGACUCUUCACACUGAAGGUGUCAUGGUCAAUCUGAAUCACAUCAUUGGACUUGAAUUCUAUGGCUUCUUCAAGUCUUGACUUCAUGUGCUAUACAAAGCCCCUUGGCCUGUCCCUCAGAUACAUGGGAAUGUUCUCAUUGUACCUUCUGUAGGUGCAAGAGCUUUCGAUGUAGCUGUGUGGCACUGCUUACUUCAACCUCUACAGAUGCACUUGUGAGGUCAAGUAGUGUUGUUGCUACUGUUACUUGGACUGUCUACAUUCUAACGUCCGUUUUUGUCUGUGUCUGUGUGUCAACAAGAUAACUCAAGAGCGGCUGCGUUGAUAGGUUUCAUACUUGGUCUGUUAGUAAGGUGUGGUGAAAGCUGGAAAUAAUUAGAUUUUGGGCCCCAUAGCGGCUUCCCUUGUUACUGCAGCACAAUUUCUGGUUUUGCUAUCUUGUGUCCUGAACAAGCUAUGAUUUUUGUGUGUUAGAUUGCUUGUGUUCAGUAAAAGUAAAAAAAGUUUGGGCCCUUAGAGUCUAAUUUGGUAUAGCAGGGGCAUUUUAUGUCAAAAAAUUCUGCAGAGGAUGAAAUAACUCAAUAAGGGAACAAAGUUAUGCAAAUGAUGACUUAAGUCAUUCACAUAAAAUUUACAAAAGCUCUAAGUAUUUCAUGUAGGUAUGAGGUCGCCGAACUCUAGAUAUAAGACAGAAUAAAAACCCAAGGUUUCUUUAAUUAGAUAUCCCAGUUGAAGUUUAAUAGCUGGAUGUGAUUUCGCUAAUUAACUACAUUCACUUUAUUGUGGUGAUGUUUCUAACACAGACAUUCAACCAUCAACGGAGAAGAGGAUGUACUUUCAUCUAACUGGAGUGCCAUUUGAUGGUUCACCAUUCCAAUUAGUUGGGACAAAGGUGUAUGAGUGCCAUCUGGGGAAAGAUCGGAACGCCGGGGCAAAGGAUAAAUACCACGCACAAAGACAAGCACAAUCGGUACAUAAUUCAACAAGUUUAAGUAAAUUAUACUUGAGUCUCAACAACUUUUGUCCACUUACAGUAAUUGUAUUAUGUUAUUAUCUGAUAACAAUGUGAAAAUGAUCAUUUUAUUUUUGAAUGAAAAUUUCUUCUAUCAUCUUCAUAAAGAAGGCUAUGUUUUCUGUGGUAUGUGUUUAUAUGUGAACUAGUAACUCGAGAAGCUAAGGGUGGAUUGUACAAUACAUGUACAACCAAAUCAACAGUAAUACCUCCAGGCUUGCACAGCACAAAGUUUUUAUAAAAAAAAAUUGUUUGGGUGAAGUCCUUGCAGCCAAGAGGGGAUCUGAUCUUUGCAUUUCAUGUCAUCUGAGGUUCCCUAUUCUGGCUUGAUACAUGUACACAUAUACUGUAUUUAAGUUUGCGGAGAUUUAAUUUUGCUGUAGCAGCAAAAUGGACUUUCGUGUGGGUUUUCAUUUCGCGGUAACACCAUGCACUGUAGUCUCUCACUGUUAUGGAAAAAUGUCAGCGGUGGUUUUAAAUUUGCGGUGAAGCAUUAAACCACUGCGAAAAUUCUGCAUUUACAGUAUGUCAUGUUCUUUCAUUAGCUCGAAGACCAUGCCUUCCAAGCACGACGUUGCUCAGUGCAGACAACUAAGAAGAUGAACUGCCCUGUCCAAUUCACCGUCUAUCACAUCAUCAAGUUUCCCGAUGAUAAAUUCAAGGUACUGUUAAUGUUAGUACUAGAGUAUUCAAUGUCAUAAUUCCAUUAGUUUGUACAAUGUUAAUUUCAGAAUGAGUACUGUUUCUGUGUAUAUACCAAUCCUUUUUUUUACUGUCCUAGAUUGAUAAGGACACUGAUGCUAGGAGGAGGAAGGCCUCAAAAGACUUGAAGAAGGCCAUUGAUCAGAAACCAUCAUCUGUUCAAGCUACUGUUCAAUUCCAUACAUGCUUUCCAACUCUGACAGAACACAAAAACCAUCCAACUGUUGGAGAGGUCGCCGAACUGCGUGAAGGGGUAGAUGAGAGGGUUAAAGGGAGGAUCAGGACCCUCGCAUUGAACGGCGUGAAAGACAUCCGGGAGAUGAGACGUCAUCUCGACGCGUAUGUGAAUGAUGACCUCUUUAAAGGGCAAGAUCUCCCGCCAACUACAAGGAGGCGCUACAACCCCACUGACAAGGACAUACGGAACAACAUGGACAAAUCAAAAGAUCGCAUUAAGAAUUCCAAAGAAGAUCAAUGCAAUGUGCAGGUAAUGUGCAAUAGGCUACAAAGUUAUAUAAUAACUGUUGAUGUUAAAUGCAAAAAUUAACAAGAGUUUGUAGAAUUCUGACAUGCAUAAAAAGUAUUGGGUGUCUGUAGAUGUUUUUUUUAAAUAAAUGAUGGAAGUGCAUUGGGUUUGUUGUACUCAUCUCUAUCAUGUGGUUCGGUUUGUUAUCAUGUCCUGAUGUAAUUUUCUUGUACCCAAGUAAGGGUUAGAACAUGGUCACGUGGCCUUAUAUGAUUUUAAAACGCCAGUGGGAGUCGAAUAUUUUUAUGUAGCGAAAUGGACCAUUGUUUCGAGUAUAGUCCAUUCACAAGUUUUCAUGAUGCCGGCUAUUCUGCUUGUUUUAUGUUCUGAAGAUAAGACACUGUUUUACACCGGCUGUGUUAUGUCUGAAUUGUUUUCCGUAGAGAGAUUGAAACCGUUUUUACUUAAAAGUUCCAUGAUACCGCCCAUGUUAUGUGUUUUUCUGAACUGUUUUCUUUAGAGAUUGAUGAAACUGUUAGUUUGAUGACACCGCCCGUUACCUUCUGAACUGUUUCCUGUAGUAGAGAUUCAAACUGUUUUCCAGACAUGUUUGCUUGACGUUAUCAUUAAAAACUUUGUUUACUUAAUGGCAUUGUGUUUCUGUGUAUAUUCAAAGAUUCUUAGAUAGGUAUGCCUUAUUGUUAAAGCCUGUUUGAAUGACCGUAGGCCGUAUCUGUCUCCUUAGAUGGACAUGCCUAAUAGAAUGGUAUUAAACCGGCAAAACACCCAAAUGCAAAGGCAACUUGUGAUACCAAGUACAUAGACACCUAACCAGUCCCAUAGACAAGGAUGACCAAAAUCAAGCCUGUCAAACCACCAUCACCAACCCAUGUACCAAAUAUCACUGCAAUCCCCAAAAACCUAUCACAUACUACACGAUCACAAUCACUACAAAGGAACUUGACUGACUACAAACAGCCAGAAACACAGACACACCCCUCUUGGUAAAUGGCAUGUACAUCUUUAACUAACUUACACAGGUCACAAUGCUUACAAACUGAUCAUUAAUUUUACUACUUGUACUUAGAAUAAUUAUGGCACUUUCACAUUAUUCAUGCAAACUAGGGAGUUAUUUGCAUGACUGACAUCUGCUAAUCUUCCACCUGCCACAAAAUACAUGUUACAUGUAUUUGAGUCAUAUAGUAGACAACAUUGUAAAUAUAGAUUUUCCUCAUUAAGUAUGCAAAUUAAGGGUUUAUGAAUUAUGCUUUUUCAUUAUCCAAAAGAAACGUGGCACAAUUAUUAGUUAUUUCAAGACCGAGAAGUGUGCUAAGGUUCAUACCUCUGUUAAUAAGAAAGUCGGCAAGAACAUUACGAAUACUAGAGUGUGUGUGUGUCCGAUAAACACAUAUCAUCAUCAAAUAAAUAAAUAAACCACUAUACCAAGUAUCAUGAAGAUCCAUCAAUCAGUUCUCCAGUUAUACUGUUGACCAUCAUAAAGACUCACCUAACACUACGGCAGAUUUUCAGGAUGCAAAUGCCAUGCAAACAUUUCUUUGCUGUGUUCCAUCAAACACCAGGCUGGGGAUGGGAGAAGCUUCCAUCGUCUUAUACAAAGACAACCCCCUUUUCACCUAAGAUGACAAAUGUCCAGGACAGAGGGCAAAUGCAGACAGUCCAAAUACAAGCACAUCUGUAGGGUGUAAGUAAGCAGUGCUACACAGCUACCUUUCAUCCCUGCUUCUUUGCCUGAGAAGAAGUCAUCAAAGAAGCUAAAAAAAAAA